This 253-nucleotide ribosomal RNA is filed under the name uncultured bacterium. RNAcentral describes it as "partial 16S ribosomal RNA". It matches the Rfam family "Bacterial small subunit ribosomal RNA", at positions 524 to 776 of the family's 1533-position model. The record is from RNAcentral.
UACGGGGGGGGCAAGCGUUGUUCGGAAUUACUGGGCGUAAAGGGCUCGUAGGUGGCCAACUAAGUCAGACGUGAAAUCCCUCGGCUUAACCGGGGAACUGCGUCUGAUACUGGAUGGCUUGAGUUUGGGAGAGGGAUGCGGAAUUCCAGGUGUAGCGGUGAAAUGCGUAGAUAUCAGGAGGAACACCUGUGGUGUAGACAGCUUACUGGACCACUUCUGACGCUGAGACACGAAAGCGUGGGUAGCAAACAGG